UGUGGACCAAUGAGCACGACAGCCAGAGGUGGUUUCCAAUACUUCGUGACUUUCACUGACGACUUGAGUAGAUAUGGACAUGUCUACUUGAUGAGGCACAAGUCAGAAACUUUUGAAAAGUUCAAGGAGUUUCAGAACGAAGUGGAAAAUCAACUCGGCAAGAAAAUCAAACUUCUACGAUCUGAUCGUGGCGGUGAGUAUAUGAGUCAGGAGUUUGAUGAUCAUCUGAAGAAUCGUGGAAUAGUUCCACAACUGACUCCUCCGGGUACGCCACAGAGAAAUGGUGUGUCAGAACGGAGGAAUCGGACCCUGUUGGACAUGGUCCGAUCGAUGAUGAGUCAGUCGGAUUUACCCUUGUCAUUUUGGGGAUACGCUCUAGAAACUGCAGCUUUCACACUAAACAGGGUACCAUCUAAGUCCGUUGAUAAGACACCAUAU
RNAcentral lists this ribosomal RNA (438 nucleotides) under Triticum aestivum (bread wheat). Its description in RNAcentral is "partial small subunit ribosomal RNA". Lineage: Eukaryota; Viridiplantae; Streptophyta; Magnoliopsida; Poales; Poaceae. The record is from RNAcentral.